CCAACGGCCCUCUUUAGGGCCACAAAUUGUGUCGAAUACUUUCUU
Non-coding RNA from Dictyocaulus viviparus (bovine lungworm), 45 nucleotides. The record is from Rfam. Lineage: Eukaryota; Metazoa; Nematoda; Chromadorea; Rhabditida; Metastrongylidae.